UGCAAAAUGCUGUCACGUGAGAAAAGACAAAUUGUUUUUCUAUUUCAAAUUUAAGUGCGCCCGUAGUAAGUGGAGAACUGCGGCUGCCUACACCAAAUCAUUUGCCCUCCGUAACCACUAACUACACUUUAUUAGCCCACACCAAACUACACGCAGACACUAUUUGCCACGAAUACACGCCACCGAUUUAUCAGCUCAUAAUUCACUUUUACGCUUUCCCCAAACUGCCCUUAUUAUUUAAAAACAAAUUCACUUUUUCAAACUAUGGAAAUUCGGAAAAUCUGCCAACUAAAGUUUGACUCUCGUUAAGGACAGAAUCGUCGUUUUGCUGUAAUGUGAAAGAUCAGGAAGUCAAAAGUUUGAAAGAAAAGGGCAUUUCAGUCAAAGGAAACAAAUCCGAUGGCCGAUGAAUUUCCCGAUCCGGAAAAUUAAGGGUAUAAUUGUCAGGAUGUGAAAUUAAACAUUCCUAAAUUAAAAGAGAAGCAAAAUAUUGAUGGUCGUAAUGAAUAAGAAAGUAAAUAACCAGCUCAUGAAGGGUCAGUUUCGUCAAUUUAGAAAUAAAUGACACCAAAUAGACCAAACCGAGUCGCCGAGUCAAACCGUUCUCAAAAAAAUAAAACAGCAGCAAAAAAUGGCAAAACAAACCUUAGAUCUCGCGGUGUCAACAGUUUUAUUGGUAGCAGGUAAACAAGACGACUCUUCAAAUCCACCGCCGCUGACGGAGGAAGUGCCGCCGCUCCAAGAAAGCGGCGUGGUAGGACUAGCACGGGUAGCCGCGUCACUUUUCUUCCUAGAAAUUUGCUUGGACCGCCGCUGUCUAACGCUCCAGUCAAUUUUCAACGCCGGAGAAAAAGCUUUAUACGGUUGCUGCGGCGGGGACAGAGAGGAAGAAGAGACGGUUUGUUUAAGGGCGGAGAGGAGCUGAACGACGAGAGUGUCGUCGGUGAAAGCGAGCUGAACCCAGUCGUCUUCUUGAGCAGACAUGGUGAUAAAAUAGUAAAUAUUGUGAUGUUGGUGGUGGAUUGUAGAGAGAGAAAGUGUAGAGAGAGAAAGUGAGGUGGAAAUUGGAAUGAAUGAAGAAUGAAGGGUAUUUAUGCGGUGGAAUGGGUGCUUUAAUUUCUUCUUCUUCUUGACAUUUCAUUUUACUUUCUUCUCCUUUUUGUGGAUUGGUUUUUGUUUUUGUAUUUUUUCUUUUAGUUAUUAUUGAUAGAUUUUGGGUCCCACUUACCAUGUCCACAUGGCAUUUAAAUUGUCACUGUUUUUUUAA
Molecule: long non-coding RNA, 1267 nt
Organism: Mercurialis annua (annual mercury)
Lineage: Eukaryota; Viridiplantae; Streptophyta; Magnoliopsida; Malpighiales; Euphorbiaceae
Exons: 2
Source: RefSeq, a predicted model, not a curated record